This 506-nucleotide ribosomal RNA is filed under the name uncultured bacterium. Its description in RNAcentral is "bacterial SSU rRNA". It matches the Rfam family "Bacterial small subunit ribosomal RNA", at positions 28 to 525 of the family's 1533-position model. The record is from RNAcentral.
GAUGAACGCUAGCGGGAGGCUUAACACAUGCAAGUCGAGGAGCAGCAUAGGGUAGCAAUACUCUGAUGGCGACCGGCAAACGGGUGAGUAACGCGUAUGCAACCUACCCUGUACAGGGGGAUAACCCGGAGAAAUUCGGACUAAUAUCCCGUAAUAAUAUCCGGAGGCAUCUUUGGAUAUUUAAAGUUCCGACGGUACGGGAUGGGCAUGCGUAACAUUAACUGGUUGGUAAGGUAACGGCUUACCAAGGCUAUGAUGUUUAGGGGUCCUGAGAGGGUGGUCCCCCACACUGGUACUGAGACACGGACCAGACUCCUACGGGAGGCAGCAGUGAGGAAUAUUGGUCAAUGGGCGCAAGCCUGAACCAGCCAUCCCGCGUGCAGGAAGACGGCCCUAUGGGUUGUAAACUGCUUUUCCAGGGAGAGAAACUUACGCACGUGUUGCGUGACUGACGGUACCCUGGGAAUAAGCAUCGGCUAACUCCGUGCCAGCAGCCGCGGUAAUCA